Echinops telfairi (small Madagascar hedgehog) is the source of this 107-nucleotide small nuclear RNA. The record is from Ensembl. Lineage: Eukaryota; Metazoa; Chordata; Mammalia; Afrosoricida; Tenrecidae.
GCGCUCCCUUCAGCAACACAUAUACUAAAAUUGGAACGAUACAGAGAAGGUUAGCAAGGCCCUUGCGCAAGGAUGACACACAGAUCCGUGAAUUGUUCAAUAUUUUA